CGCGUGCGCGGAGCUGAGGCGCGCAUGGCGGCGGGGCUGCGGGAGCCGAGCCCAGGUCACCUUGUAAUGGAAGAGAGUGGAGCUGGCCAUGAUAUUGCUAUGGAAGGAUCUAAUGAUUUGUUCAUAGGCAGCUGUAAUGGUACAGGAGAGUCAGAAACAAAUGAUCAGAUUUUUCAGGAGUUGCUGCUCAAAGUACAUUUUACUGUUUUUCCUCUGUGAAAGCGACUAAGGUGCAUGGAUUCCAGGGAUCUGUUGUUUGGCCAGAGCGACUCUCCCCCAGCCCUGCCCAUCACAGUCCCCCUGUCGGGCAGUCCUCCCCAGGCACGGUCCCGCUCUGCCGAGGAGUUGCACGGGGCAGAGCAGCCCAGGCAGCCCCUGUGUGAGCUGCAGCCCCUGGGAGGGCCCAGUGCACCCAUGAUGAUUGUUGCCAGCCAGUCAGAAAAUGGACAGGUGCUGCAUGUCAUUCCUUCUGCCCAGCCAGGAGUGACCCAAGUAAUUAUUCCUCCAGGUCAGCUUCUGGAUGUGACCAGCACACAGGAUAUUUCAGAAGAGAAGUGUGGUGAUGGGAACCUGCAGACUGUGGUGGUGGCUUCCAUAGCAGACAGUGCAAGCAGUUACAUUCUACAUCCACAGGCAUCUCUCACUGUAUCAAAAAAAACAACCACCAGGGCAGUGGAAGAUUCUUUUCCUGUCCCUCUUCAGCCACUGCCACUAAAUACACCUGCAUGGGCACGCCGUCUCAGGAACUGUGAGAGAAUUGGGGACUCAUACCGCGGCUAUUGUGUGAGCGAGGCAGAGUUAGAGAGCGUCCUGGCGCUCCACAAGCAGCAGACACAGAGCGUGUGGGGCACGCGCCAGUCUCCGAGCCCCGCCAAACCCGCCACACGCUUGAUGUGGAAAUCCCAGUAUGUCCCAUAUGAUGGGAUCCCCUUUGUCAAUGCAGGAAGCAGAGCCAUUGUAAUGGAGUGCCAAUAUGGGCCAAGGAGAAAAGGAUUUCAGCCCAAAAAAGCUGGUGAGCAGGAAAGCACCUCUAGCCAGCUGUACAAAGCCACUUGUCCAGCAAGGAUCUAUAUUAAAAAGGUCCAAAAGUUUCCAGAAUACAGGGUUCCUACUGACCCUAAAAUUGACAAGAAAAUCAUAAGAAUGGAGCAGGAGAAAGCAUUCAACAUGCUGAAGAAGAACUUGAUAGAUGCUGGUGGUGUCCUCAGGUGGUAUGUACAGUUACCUACUCAGCAAGCCCACCAAUAUCAUGAAGUGGAAACUUCCUGCCUCCCUCCUUCACCGUCCCAUCUUUCUGUGUCUUCUCCUGAGGAGGAGGAGGAAGUCAUUAGAGAUGAGAACAGUACUCUGCCUUCUCGACUUCAUCCUCAAGUGGCAGACAAGAUCCGAGAGCUGGUGUCUCAGGGAGUGGAGCAGGUCUAUGCAGUGAGGAAGCAGCUAAGAAAGUAUGUGGAAAGAGAAUUGUUCACACCUGAUGAAGUGCCAGAAAGACAUAACCUGUCCUUCUUCCCCACUGUGAAUGACAUCAAGAACCACAUUCAUGAAGUGCAGAAGUCCCUAAGGAGUGGAGAGAUGGUGUAUAAUUCAGAAAGUAUCCCAGCAACGCUGCAAUGGACCACAGACAGUGGGAAUGUCCUCACAGAAACAGUGACGGUUGCGUUUGCCUCAGCACCUUCAGAUGGGAGCUCAGGAGUGGAGUCAGUCAUCACCAAAGCAGAAUCCAACCAGAGCGGGGAGUCCUUGAUACCAGAAACAGCUCAGCUGUUGUCUUCACUCUCCUCACUUCAGCCCAAGAUAUUUGCACAGCUUCAGGGAUUACAGCUGCAGUCAGCAUUUACCUCGACAAAUGGAUCAACAGCCCUUCUAGCUGUAAAUAACCAUUCACCUCCCAGCCCUGCAGGUCUCCUGGAUUCCCUGGGGGGUGCAAUAGGCAGCCAUUCUCUAGCACUGAGUCAGGGCCACAGUCUGCAAGGUGCUGGCCUGACACAGGACAGUGCUGCUGUGCCUGCUUUUGGGGCUCUGCCUGCCUCUGAUCAGAGUCUGCUUGCCAUGGGCCAGCUGGUACCAGCUGAAGGGGUGGAUGACUCCAGAAGCCUGGAAGGAGGAGUGCAGCAGAUUCUCUUGGGAGAUGUGCAGACUAUCCCAGUACGGAUUGUGGACAGCCAGCCAGCACUUACUGAAGAAAAUACAGAGGGUGUUGUUACUUGUGUGAGCCAAGUUAAACAAGAACCAGGAGAAAAAGCAUUGUCUAUGGAAACAGAUAAAAUCAGAGACUGCCACAGUUCCUCACCAUAGUUCUUCGCCUUCACCUGUGAAGCCUGGAAGGAUUUUCAAAUUGGAGAACUCUAAAUGGCUUGGAAGGAAAGGCAGGUGCUCUCAAAGUACUGCCAUUCUUUUUUAAUUUCUGUAUGCCAUUCAGACUAAGCAUAUUUUAGAGUACUUCUGAUAGAAAGCUGUUUUGGUUGGACUGAUGGGGCUCUCUGCCAACUCCAGGUCAUUCAGUUGCCCCGUGGAACACCACCUCUCUCUUCUGUUUCAAGUUUUGAGUAAUUUGGAUUCUAUCCAAAUGGCCCAUUUUGUUCAUUGUUUCUGAAGGUCUUCCACAAUUUAAUUCCUUAGCUUUAGAAUGUGGAUCACAAUGCUGGGUUCACAUUUUCUGCUUGAGACCCUUGACUUUUAUCGUACUACAGAGACCAUAGAAUCUGUCAGCUCCAAGAUCACAGAAUCCAACAGCAAAGUGGAUCAGUAUGGCAAUGGUUUUGUGACAAAAGGAAGGUCCAGGAUGCUAAACUUCAAAGUGAUAAAGGACAUGGAUGCUUAAGAAAAUGCCACUUUGACCUGAUCAUAAUGUUAAUGGUGUGAAGAUCAAGGAGAGGAGAAAGAACAUGAAGCAUUCCAAACUACCCCUCAAAACCACCACACUCAGAGCCUGAAAGGAUCGCUUACCUCUGAGAGUACUCCAGAUAACUGUCAAGAGACCAGAGCAGAGAACAGAAGAGGAAGACAAGUUUGCAAAAACUGCUUGCAGGAGAUAGAAAGCUCUCAAAGUUACAGCUGAAGACUGCAAUUUCUUAUGGCUGAAAUGGCUCACUUUAGAUGUGUGCUGGUUAUCUUCUGAAUGCAAACUGGUCUGAUAGCUCCAUGGUUUUGGCUGUUGACAAAGCUGUUAUCACAUCUGAGGUGUUCUGUACAUGGAAGGAGAUGGAGGAAGUGGGAACCUUCUUGACCUGACUUCUACUGAGAACAGAUGAUCUGUGGAAAGAGGCCUUUACUGGUUUAAAAUCAAUAUCCUCACAAUAAUUUCUUGGCUGUACAGAUUUUUCAUGUCAGGUGCUAGUGCAUCUCUAACUUUGCACAUAAUACAAGCCAUAAAAUUGCUUCUCACUGGCCUAGCCAUAUUUUUUGUUGUCUCCUACCGCUGUACUCAUUGCUGUUUGGGAGUGGGGAAAUAGUUUUAACAUGUUCUGAUUUUCCACUUUUCUGCCUUUCUCCUGUUGCCUCUUUCUCAUACCCAGAACAGCACAGAAAGAAAUUUCUCAUUUAAAAAAAAAUCUCUAUCUUGGGGUUUUGUUUUUGCUUUAUUGUGCUGGAGUUUGAUUUCUUACAUGAUUGAAAUGUAAGAUAUCGUUGCAUUUUGCUUAAGGAGUGGGAAAUACUGGGGUGAGCUCCACUGCCCCCUUCACUCCAGAAGUCCUCAGAGGAAGCACCUGCUGCAGGUUCUGCUCCUGCACCUGCAUCUCCACACAGGUCAGCACAAAUGCAGAGCUGGGGUGAUGACAGCAGUGUCUCGCACUUUGUGCACCAGCACCUUAUCAGUACAAAGUUAUUGCUGUGAGUCCAGAUCAGUCUGUGGGUCUGCCCCACUGUGUCCCACAAAUGACACUUUGGGCACAACUUGAAAGAGAGCACAGGAGAUGGCCAGGAAGUUCUUAAUGUUCAGCUUUGAGUUUGUGCUUCUGUGUUGAGUUCAGGUGCCCUGGUGUGGGUGGCCCCAUGCGGGACGCAGCUGGUUCCAGGCAGCUCUGCAAUGGACACAGCACACAGCUGAGCAUAUCAGUGAAGCUGGGCCACCUCUGGGGAGGGGUCUGCAAGAAAGGGAAAAUGCUGCAUGGCAGAGGGGAGUGAGGAAGGAGGUGAAACAGCCCUCUCAGCACCAAGGUCAGAGAAGAAGGAAAGGGAGGAAUUGCUUCAGGUGCCAGAGCAGGUGUGUUCCCUGCAGACAACAGAGGAUCACAUGCCAGAGCAGGUGCAGAUUUUUCUGAAGGAACUGCAGUCCAUGGAGAGGAGCCAUGCCAAAACAGGUUUCUGCUGAAGGACUGCAGCCUGUGGAGAGGACCAUGAUGGAGCAACAGAAAGGAGCUGUUACAGACUGACUGACUGCAAUGUCCAUAUUCCUCUGUGCCUUGUGCUGCCUUGGACAAGGGGAGACCGAGAAGUUGGGUGUUCAAAGUGUGAAGUUGAGUCAGAGGAAAGAGGGCAACAGGAAGGGAAUGUGCUGUUUGAAUUUGCUUUCGUUUCUCAGUGCUUUAAUCCAUUUUAAUUGGCAAUAAAUUAAAUUAGCUUUCCUCAUAUUGAUUCAAAUAUUGCAAUUUACAUCUGGAUGCAAGUCACGGUGGAAAAUCCUGAUGUCUGUUUGAUAACUGCAAGUCACUAUUGCCUUUAAUUUUUUAUUUUUAAGAUUCAUUUUGUGUGAAGGAAGUAGUGUACCUUGUCUGAAUCAGGAAUUGCAUUUCUGGAUGUAUUCUGGUUAGGCCUUUCAAGUCCAGCAUACUCACUCCACUAGAGUAGAUCUCAGGUGGAGAAUUAACUCAGGAACACGUCUCAUCCCUUACAUUUCAGCUGGAAAACAAUACCAGACAUAUUUUUACAGGUUUGAGCAUGGGAGAGUCAUUCUGAGGAGAGGAUGCUGCAGCAGUAGAUUCUACUUUAUAUACUUUGGUAAAGCUGUUCUUACAGGUGCUAAGGGUGUGGUAUUUUCCCAGUGUUUUGUCUAGCAGUGCUUCAGAAUGGGGCAAAGUUUGUGGUGAGUGGCAUCUUUAGUGAAAGUGCUGUUAACUUUGGGAAAAGAAAUAAGCAGAGUUUGGCAAUGAGAUUUAUAUUCUUGUGCUUUCCAGAGAUUAUUUUCCUGAAUAAGAAGGGAACUUCCUUUAGAGGGUAAGUUUUAUAUGUAUGUUCUUAUACCACCUUUGGAAAAUACCUGGCACUGGACACCAAGGGUACCUAGACAGGGUACUAGGUGACAUGACACACUUACCGGUUUAUAAUAGGGGCACUGGAAUAUAAAAUUGAUGGAUAGCUUCCUAACAUUAGCUAAAAUAAUCUUUUCAUCCUCUCUUCACAUUUCACUGUAAAGGGAAGAGUCUCUGUUAAAGGGAACAUGGUGAAUUGUUGGUUGUCCAUAAAACUGUUUAUCAACAGUUGGAUGAAAAGGACUUCUUUGAUAAUUAGUUAGAUGAGCUUCAGAAAAGAAUCUAUUGUCAUUGUAACUUCAAGUAUUUUCUUCCAAUUGUAUCAUUCACUAUUGAUUAUUGUAUUAUUGUUUAUUUGCUGUAUAAUUUAUUUGUUAAGCUUUUCUGGCCAUGUCAGGGCCCUAGAAGUAAUACAUAUGGCAAUUGUCUUUUCUUUUUAAGUUUUAUAAAAGGGAAAGGAAUUCUUAAUUUUUUUUAUUUAGCCACCAGCUGCUCUGAAAAAGUCCAUGAUUAUCCAUGCUUCAUAGCUACCAAAAAUAUUUUAUGCUGAAGUAUUCCAUAAACUUGAGAUUUUUCUUUAGAUCAGGCAAAGUGAAUUUAACAUCUUAAAAAAAAAAAGGCAGACUACGCUGGAACCAAAUCUAGCAUUUUCAGGAGCUAUGACCUAGGGUUCAUCAGUUGCAAUUGUAAAAAAGAUUGAUGUUUUCAUAGAGAAAUGGUUUUAUUCAUCUAGUUUAAUCUAUGAACAAAAGUUUCUCGAUUCCUCUUAUUUCAGACUUCUGAACUCCUUUGCAAAAUGAGAGAUUGCUAGUGAGAUUAGCUAAUAACUGCAAAAAUGGAAAAAAUUUCACUGGGGACAGGUGCUAACAAGAUGUACCAUAAAGUCAGCCAGCAUAAUUAACAUUAGUAAGGUAAGAAGUUUCAGAGAUUAACUACAGCCUAAUACUUUUGAUGGUACACUGAUGUUUAUUCUGAUCUUGCAAACAAAAAUAAUGUUUAUGAGCCAUUGCAGAAAGAACUGGGAAAUAAAGCACUUUCUGA
Camarhynchus parvulus is the source of this 6230-nucleotide RNA transcript. It is a transcript of the gene named calcium responsive transcription factor, with no coding region annotated. The transcript has 18 exons. The record is from RefSeq and is a predicted model, not a curated record. NCBI's taxonomy places the organism in Eukaryota, Metazoa, Chordata, Aves, Passeriformes, Thraupidae.